RNAcentral lists this ribosomal RNA (292 nucleotides) under uncultured bacterium. RNAcentral's name for it is "partial 16S ribosomal RNA". It matches the Rfam family "Bacterial small subunit ribosomal RNA", at positions 505 to 796 of the family's 1533-position model. The record is from RNAcentral.
GUGCCAGCAGCCGCGGUAAUACGUAGGGUGCGAGCGUUAAUCGGAAUUACUGGGCGUAAAGCGUGCGCAGGCUGUUUUGUAAGUCAGAUGUGAAAUCCCUGGGCUCAACCUAGGAACUGCGUUUGAAACUACAAGGCUAGAGUGUAGCAGAGGGGGGUAGAAUUCCACGUGUAGCAGUGAAAUGCGUAGAGAUGUGGAGGAAUACCAAUGGCGAAGGCAGCCCCCUGGGUUAACACUGACGCUCAUGCACGAAAGCGUGGGGAGCAAACAGGAUUAGAAACCCUGGUAGUCC